AUGAGGUUCUCUGCUCAUCUCCUGGGGCUGUUGAUGGUCUGGAUUCCAGGAACCAGUGGGGAUGUUGUGCUGACCCAGAAUCCACUAUCCCUACCCAUUGUUCUGGGAGAACCCAUCUCCAUCUCCUGCAGGUCUAGCCAGAGCCUAAUACAUAGUGACAAAAACACCUAUCUGAACUGGAUUCAUCAGAAGCCAGGCCAGCAUCCAAGGGGCUUGAUCUAUAGAGUUUCUAAACUACACUCAGGGGUCCCAGACAGGUUCAGUGGCAGUGGGUCACAGACAGAUUUUACAUUGAAAAUCAGCAAGGUGGAAUCAGAGGAUCUGGGAGUUUAUUACUGUAUGCAAGAUACACAUGCACCUCCCACAGUGAUACAGCCCUGA
Molecule: non-coding RNA, 381 nt
Organism: Suncus etruscus (white-toothed pygmy shrew)
Lineage: Eukaryota; Metazoa; Chordata; Mammalia; Eulipotyphla; Soricidae
Source: the annotation of a RefSeq genome assembly